UCCACUGAGACUGUUCGGUUGAGGUGGUGCCUACCAGCUUCCUUUACUGUGAAGACACUCUUUGUCCACUUCCUGUCCCUAAGUCCAGCCCACACAGUGAGAAGAGAGUGAGCCAGUGCUUUCAUUCCUUUCAGUCUGCUCAUGGCUUGAUCAUUACUCAACUUCGAUCACAGCUGUAAAGAGCUAGACUAGCCCAAAUUCAUCCAGUAAUAAAUGACGAAGCUAAAAAUUUGAAUUUGUAUCUGUCUGUCUCCAAAAGCUGGAAGGCGAAUUUAUGUUACUGUGACCAAAGAAACAGUCUGGGACCUCCCUUGGCUGGGGCCAGGGAGAGGAAGAAAUCAGGAAGGAUCAAGGCCAAGUACUUCAUGAAAUGGACAAGUGAAGAAAAAAUAAGUUGUCUACAUCUCAGCAUUUAAAGGGAUUCAGGUUCACCGGAGCCAGCCUCCCAGCCCCUGUCAUCAGCAGCAAGAACUGGCUACGGCUGCACUUCACCUCAGAUGGCAACCACCGGCAGCGUGGCUUCAGUGCUCAGUACCAAGGAACAAGGAAGCUGAUGUUCAGAGAAGUGAAGUCACGUUCCCAAGGCCACCUGACCUGCUGCCUUUGAGCCAGAGCCACCGUUUUUGCCCGCUAGCAUAAAGCUGUUCUCUGUACACAGCAGGGAGCAUCCCACACUUCUACCUGUUUUCAUUUUACCUAAGACACAGCUGUAUUGCAAACACAAACAAAAUCACUUUAGAGAGCAGUGGUGCUCGUGUGCUCCAAUCUGGGAAGAGAAGUCUAAUGGCAAGAGAUCAGACCAGGAGUGGCAGGUGGAAAUUGCGGAUAAGCACAUUUCAGCUCCAAUAAUGAAGAAUUUCCUAGCCACAAGAGCCACCCACAAAAAAGCAGCAAGUUAAUUCAGAAAAGGGAAGACUGCAACCAGAGAUCUGACAUGCCAGUGAAUGCGUAGGAAUGAGAAGG
RNAcentral lists this long non-coding RNA (963 nucleotides) under Heterocephalus glaber (naked mole-rat). RNAcentral's name for it is "lncRNA (ENSHGLG00100037346.1)". Lineage: Eukaryota; Metazoa; Chordata; Mammalia; Rodentia; Bathyergidae. The record is from RNAcentral.